This 253-nucleotide ribosomal RNA is filed under the name uncultured bacterium. RNAcentral describes it as "partial 16S ribosomal RNA". It matches the Rfam family "Bacterial small subunit ribosomal RNA", at positions 524 to 776 of the family's 1533-position model. The record is from RNAcentral.
GACGAACCGUCCAAACGUUAUUCGGAAUUACUGGGCUUAAAGGGGGCGUAGGCGGCGCGGAAAGUUGGGUGUGAAAUCCCUCGGCUCAACCGAGGAACUGCGCCCAAUACUACCGUGCUUGAGGGAGAUAGAGGUGAGCGGAACUUAGGGUGGAGCGGUGAAAUGCGUUGAUAUCCUAAGGAACACCGGUGGCGAAAGCGGCUCACUGGAUCUCUUCUGACGCUGAGGCACGAAAGCUAGGGUAGCGAACGGG